GUCAGGGUAUGGGAGUGAACCGGGGUAUCGUGGUGAUGCAGAGUUUGGAUAUGGUGAUGAGUUUGAUGAAGAAGAAGAUGAUCAACGGCUUUCCUUCUGGGGCGAUGAAUUUGGAGCACUCUCUAGGAUGGAGAAAGUUGGAGAGAACUCGUUGCAGAAGGUGCACCAUAGAUGUCGGCGGAGGAAACAAGAUUGUCGAAUGGUGAUCCCUUGAGGUUUGCUGAUGUUGAUGAGUGUGAUUGAUAGCCGGUUCCAAGAUUUUGCCAGUGAUACAAUCGUGUAAUUCAUGAGCAGAACCUUUUUGGGUUUGAAUACAGAAUCUGCUGCUGUAAAUAUGAACAAAUGAUGUUAAUUGUUCAUGUCUUAUUGUCAUGGUACCCCUGAUGUUCACCAUGGUAUGUUUUGGUUGGGGAUUAGACAAGUUAGUAUAUUGUACUAUUUAAGGGGUCGUUUGAUAGUGUGUAAGAGUAG
RNAcentral lists this unclassified non-coding RNA (471 nucleotides) under Hevea brasiliensis (rubber tree). The record is from RNAcentral. Lineage: Eukaryota; Viridiplantae; Streptophyta; Magnoliopsida; Malpighiales; Euphorbiaceae.